GCUGGAAGAUCAAGAAGGUUGCGUCUGAUGAAGCAGGACUUGGCUAAUACACUCCUCCUAGACAAAGGAGCAGAUCAAGUAACUCUUACUAGAGAAACCACAGCGUUGGCUGUACCACCCGACAUUU
Non-coding RNA from Myodes glareolus (Bank vole), 127 nucleotides. RefSeq annotates it as small Cajal body-specific RNA 4. The record is from RefSeq and is a predicted model, not a curated record. NCBI's taxonomy places the organism in Eukaryota, Metazoa, Chordata, Mammalia, Rodentia, Cricetidae.